RNAcentral lists this RNase P RNA (349 nucleotides) under Alistipes sp. RNAcentral's name for it is "RNase P RNA component class A". It matches the Rfam family "Bacterial RNase P class A". Rfam says of the family: Ribonuclease P (RNase P) is a ubiquitous endoribonuclease, found in archaea, bacteria and eukarya as well as chloroplasts and mitochondria. Its best characterised activity is the generation of mature 5'-ends of tRNAs by cleaving the 5'-leader elements of precursor-tRNAs. Lineage: Bacteria; Pseudomonadati; Bacteroidota; Bacteroidia; Bacteroidales; Rikenellaceae. The record is from RNAcentral.
CCGCAUACACGCUCUAUCGCUGACACCUUGUGUGUAAGAGGAAAGUCCGAGCAACGGAGAGCGCCACGCAAGUUAAUGGCUUGAUGCCCGUAAGGGUAUAGUAACGUAGAAGAAAAUAACCGCCCGUAAGGGUAAGGGUGAGAAGGUGGGGUAAGAGCCCACCGCAAGGGUAGCAAUACUCCUUGGCUGUGCGUCUCGUGGGUUGCAAGACCAUGUAUACCGACAAUUAAGGGUUGCUCGUCCGAUGUCGGGGGGUAGGUUGCUAGAGGCUAUGGGUGACCAUAGUCGUAGAUAAAUGAUAGAGGCCCCGUAAGGGGUACAGAACUCGGCUUAUAGUGUAUGCACGACA